AUUACUUGAAUGAAGAGGAUAACAUAAUACUGAGCUAAAAAUUUUAUGUAAAGUAUGUUUUCAGUUUAGUUUACAAUACAAGCUGUAAAUGUGCUGGAGAUUUUAUUGAUGUUGAAGCUUGUAAACAAAACCAAUAAACGUAGGACUUAUUCACGGCAAUGUAUGGGAACCAGAGCUGGGAACCAGUCUAGAAGGCAAAGAAAAUUCCGCCAAGUAAACAACAAAGAAUUUGGGAUGUUGUCAGUUGUAUACAUUAUGUGGGCCGGUGACUGCAAGAAGCAAGGAAUGUGGAGCUAAUGCAUGCUGCUAAGGAUGGAAAGUUCUUGUGUUUAUUGGUUGUUCCUGAGACAUCAGUCACAGUUUUACCUUAUUUCCAUUUUAGAAGCAAGGAAUGUGGAGCUAAUGCAUGCUGCUAAGGAUGGAAAGGUCUUGUGUAUAUUGGUUGUGCCUGAGACACCAGUCACAGUUGUACUUUAUUUCCAUUUUAGAUGUUGUGAUGAAGAUUGUUGAAAGAGAUUAUCGACAUAGAACCAAUCCAUAUGAAUGUGCAAGUCAGGACUUGUACAACACCUGAGUACCCAGAUGACUGUUGAACUAAUUGGUGAACAAGAAAAGAUGUCAGAGAGGGGAAUCCAAAACAGAUGUCAUGAUCAAGAAAAUGUACUGUUAUCAAUGAUAUGAUCAAAAAUUUGUAAACUUGUAGCGAUUUAGAAUAUCUUAUCUGUAAUAUAACUCUUUAAUACUUAAUUGUUCACACAUUAUCAUCUUAUCUGUAUAUUAAUCACCCCCUCUUAUAUAACCCCCUGGUGAUUGUAAUGACCUGUGUAUUGAUUCCUGAUCUUAAGGAUCUUAUACAUGUAAUGUGCUCCUGAUCGUCAGGAGCGGAUCUUGAGUAUAUAUAUAGUGCGACAGAAUUUUAGAAUAAGAUAGGAAGAUGGAAAUAUAGAAGACUUAGUAGAUAGAACUGUUAGAGAUAGAUAAAGUUACUUACUUACUUGGAAUAUAACCUAUAGUAAUAUUUCUUGGAUUUAUAUGUACAUGUGAUUAUUUAACUUGUACAUGUAUUUUAUUUUUAGUGAAUUAUUUUUCCUGAAUGUUUCUAUUUGUGAUGUGCUGUGUAAAUAAACUGUAGACUAGAAUUUCGGCAAGAUAUGAGGAACAAGGAUAAUUGAUUUAUUCAUGCAAACUGACAUUAUGAAAUGUGUUAUAAGACUGCCUGAUGCAGCGCUACAAACUAACUAGUAAAUAUCUUGGAGAUAUAUAGAUGAACAUGCAAGCAUUCUUGGUUUUAAAUGUUAUUCAUUCAGAGUUUUUGCACAAAUACAAUUUUCAGUACAGUAAUCUAAACUGGAUGUGUGAAUUUCAGUACAGUUAUGUAAAAUGAAUAUGUUAUUUUAUUUUGAUUGUCAGUUUCUCAACAGGACAUAAUUUAUUUUUUUGCAGAACAAAACACACAGAACUUUUUUUUCUCUUUGUGCAUCAUACACUUGUAAAUGUUUUACACCAUCUUGGUUACAUAUUUUACAUUUAUGACGUGUAAAUCGAGCAAACACAUGAAAAUACGUGAAGCUGGAUACAUAUGCAAACAUGCAUCUACCAUAACCUAUUACAUAUUUUCCAAGGUGUGUGAAGUCGAGCACAUACAUGAAAAUGUGUGAAGCUGGACACAUACACAAAUACACAUGCAUCUGCCACAACCUAUUACAUAUUUUCCAAGGCGUGUGAAGUCGAGCACAUACAUAAAGAUGUGUGAAGCUGGACACAUAUGCAAACACACAAGCAUCUACCACAACCUAUUACAUAUUUUCCAAGGCGUGUGAAGUCGAGCACAUACAUGAAAAUGUGUGAAGCUGGACACAUAUGCAAAUACACUAACAUUUACCAAAUCUAAACUUAAUCAAGCAUAGACAGGCUCAUGGGGUGAAGCUGGACUCGUACAUGAUCUCAUGCAUUUUGCAAACUGCAUCCCCGCAUCUAUUCUAAUAGAUUUUUCAACAUAUUUUGUGUUUGUGAAUAUGUAAAAUGCAUCAAUUUGCAUUACAAGUUGAAGA
This is a long non-coding RNA of Saccostrea cuccullata (small rock oyster), 2051 nucleotides long. RefSeq lists it as uncharacterized. NCBI's taxonomy places the organism in Eukaryota, Metazoa, Mollusca, Bivalvia, Ostreida, Ostreidae. The transcript is spliced from 5 exons. The record is from RefSeq and is a predicted model, not a curated record.